CCCUACGGGGGGCAGCAGUGGGGAAUAUUGGGCAAUGGGCGAAAGCCUGACCCAGCGACUCCGCGUGGAGGAAGAAGCCUUAAGGGGUGUAAACUCCUUUUCUGGGGGAAGACGAAUGACGGUACCCCAGGAAUAAGCCACGGCUAACUACGUGCCAGCAGCCGCGGUAAUACGUAGGUGGCAAGCAUUAUCCGGAAUUACUGGGUGUAAAGAGUCCGUAGCCGGUUGUAUAAGUCUACUUUUAAAAGCUUUGGCUCAACCAAAGAGAGGGGGUAGAUACUGUAUAACUAGAGAUAGUUAGAGGUUAAUGGAAUUCUCGGUGGAGGGGUGAAAUCUGUUGAUAUCGGGAGGAAUGCCGAAAGCGAAAGCAGUUAACUAUAAUUAAUCUGACGGUGAUGGACGAAAGCAUAGGUAGCAAACAGGAUUAGAUACCCUGGUAGUCUAUGCCGUAAACUAUGCUCGCUAGGUGUUUUCACGAGAGUGGGAGUGCUGUAAGCAAACGCGUUAAGCGAGCCACCUGAGGAGUACAGUCGCAAGACUGAAACUCAAAGGGAUAGGCGGGGGAAUACACAAGCAGUGGAUUGUCUCGAUUAAUUGGAUAAUAAGCCAAGAAUCUUACCUAGGCUUGACAUCCUUAGGAUUUUAUAGAAAUAUAGAAGUGCCUAGAUUACUAGGAGCUAAGUGACAGGUGCUGCAUGGCCGUCGUCAGCUCGUGCCGCAAGGUGUCCGGUUAAGUCCGGGAACGAGCGCAACCCUCGUACUUAGUUAAGAUGUCUAAGUAGACUGCCUUCGCAAGAGGGAGGAAGGAGAGGAUGACGUCAGGUCAUUAUGGCCCUUAUGCCUAGGGCGUCAGAGACAAUACAAUGGUUGGUACAAUAUGAGGCGAUAUCGCGAGAUGGAGCAAAUCAUGAAAAACCAACCUUAGUGCGGAUUGUAGUCUGGAACUCGACUACAUGAAGUUGGAAUUGCUAGUAAUGGUGGAUCAGCCAUGCCACCGUGAAUAUGUCCCUGUUCCUUGCACUCACCGCCCGUCAUACCAUGGGAGCUGAGGCUCUUUGAAGCACUACAGAG
Molecule: ribosomal RNA, 1071 nt
Filed under: Candidatus Vampirococcus lugosii
Lineage: Bacteria; Candidatus Absconditibacteriota
Description: bacterial SSU rRNA
Rfam family: Bacterial small subunit ribosomal RNA
Source: RNAcentral